GUUAUGCGAAGGGAAGGUAUUAGCACCCCUACGCAUCCGUAGUACUCUACGGGAUCCACGCACAAAAGGAAGGAUAAUUGGUUGCUAAAAACGCUGCUCACACACACACACUGGCUGAAAAGAGACAAAAGAAAACUGACUGAAACUGACUCGGCAGGAUACCGCAUCCUGGGCCUACUUAGUCUAUCAGGCAUAGACAUCAGAGUCGAAGUAGUUCGGACUGGG
This 225-nucleotide long non-coding RNA is filed under the name Lathyrus oleraceus (garden pea). Its description in RNAcentral is "Pisum sativum (pea) long non-coding RNA (PSAT_LNC024963)". The record is from RNAcentral. Lineage: Eukaryota; Viridiplantae; Streptophyta; Magnoliopsida; Fabales; Fabaceae.